This 148-nucleotide small RNA is filed under the name Pongo abelii (Sumatran orangutan). RNAcentral's name for it is "Metazoan signal recognition particle RNA (ENSPPYG00000040924.1)". Lineage: Eukaryota; Metazoa; Chordata; Mammalia; Primates; Hominidae. The record is from Rfam by way of RNAcentral.
GCCAGGUGUGGUGGUGCACACCUGUAAUCCCAGCUACUCGGGAGGCUGAGGCAGGAGAAUCACUUGAACUCAGGAGGCGGAGUCUGCAGUGAGCCGAGAUCGUGCCACUGCACUCCAGCCUGGGCAAUAGAGUGAGACUCGGUCUCAA